RNAcentral lists this ribosomal RNA (536 nucleotides) under uncultured bacterium. RNAcentral's name for it is "bacterial SSU rRNA". It matches the Rfam family "Bacterial small subunit ribosomal RNA", at positions 777 to 1322 of the family's 1533-position model. The record is from RNAcentral.
AAUAGAUACCCAGGUAGUCCACGCCGUAAACGAUGGAUACUAGCUGUUGGAGGUAUCGACCCCUUCAGUAGCGAAGCUAACGCGUUAAGUAUCCCGCCUGUGGAGUACGGUCGCAAGACUAAAACAUAAAGGAAUUGACGGGGACCCGCACAAGCGGUGGAUCGUGUUCUUUAAUUCGAUGAUAAACGAAGAACCUUACCAGGGCUUGACAUCCUUGGAAGCACUGCGAAAGCAGAGUGUGCCUUUUGGAACCAAGUGACAGGUGUUGCAUGGCCGUCGUCAGCUCGUGUCGUGAGAUGUUUGGUUAAGUCCAUCAACGAGCGCAACCCUUGUGAAUAGUUGUAUUUUUCUAUUCAGACUGCCCCGGCAACGGGGAGGAAGGAGGGGAUGAUGUCAGGUCAGUAUUACCCUUACGUCCUGGGCUAGGAACACGAUACAAUGGCUAGUACAAUGCGCAGCGAAGCCGCGAGGUGGAGCAAAAUCGCAUCAAAAGCUAAGUCCCAGUUCGGAUAAGAGGCUGAAAACUCGCCUCUUUG